GGGUGAAGGAACUAGGCAAAAUGGUGCCGUAACUUCGGGAGAAGGCACGCUGACACGUAGGUGAAGUGAUUUACUCAUGGAGCUGAAGUCAGUCGAAGAUACCAGCUGGCUGCAACUGUUUAUUAAAAACACAGCACUGUGCAAACACGAAAGUGGACGUAUACGGUGUGACGCCUGCCCGGUGCCGGAAGGUUAAUUGAUGGGGUCAGCGCAAGCGAAGCUCCUGAUCGAAGCCCCGGUAAACGGCGGCCGUAACUAUAACGGUCCUAAGGUAGCGAAAUUCCUUGUCGGGUAAGUUCCGACCUGCACGAAUGGCGUAAUGAUGGCCAGGCUGUCUCCACCCGAGACUCAGUGAAAUUGAACUCGCUGUGAAGAUGCAGUGUACCCGCGGCAAGACGGAAAGACCCCGUGAACCUUUACUAUAGCUUGACACUGAACAUUGAGCCUUGAUGUGUAGGAUAGGUGGGAGGCUUUGAAGUGUGGACGCCAGUCUGCAUGGAGCCGACCUUGAAAUACCACCCUUUAAUGUUUGAUGUUCUAACGUGGACCCGUGAUCCGGGUUGCGGACAGUGUCUGGUGGGUAGUUUGACUGGGGCGGUCUCCUCCUAAAGAGUAACGGAGGAGCACGAAGGUUGGCUAAUCCUGGUCGGACAUCAGGAGGUUAGUGCAAUGGCAUAAGCCAGCUUGACUGCGAGCGUGACGGCGCGAGCAGGUGCGAAAGCAGGUCAUAGUGAUCCGGUGGUUCUGAAUGGAAGGGCCAUCGCUCAACGGAUAAAAGGUACUCCGGGGAUAACAGGCUGAUACCGCCCAAGAGUUCAUAUCGACGGCGGUGUUUGGCACCUCGAUGUCGGCUCAUCACAUCCUGGGGCUGAAGUAGGUCCCAAGGGUAUGGCUGUUCGCCAUUUAAAGUGGUACGCGAGCUGGGUUUAGAACGUCGUGAGACAGUUCGGUCCCUAUCUGCCGUGGGCGCUGGAGAACUGAGGGGGGCUGCUCCUAGUACGAGAGGACCGGAGUGGACGCAUCACUGGUGUUCGGGUUGUCAUGCCAAUGGCACUGCCCGGUAGCUAAAUGCGGAAGAGAUAAGUGCUGAAAGCAUCUAAGCACGAAACUUGCCCCGAGAUGAGUUCUCCCUGAGACUUUAGGUCUCCUGAAGGAACGUUGAAGACGACGACGUUGAUAGGCCGGGUGUGUAAGCGCAGCGAUGCGUUGAGCUAACCGGUACUAAUGAACCGUGAGGCUUAACCUUACA
This 1249-nucleotide ribosomal RNA is filed under the name Salmonella enterica. RNAcentral describes it as "partial 23S ribosomal RNA". It matches the Rfam family "Bacterial large subunit ribosomal RNA", at positions 1702 to 2925 of the family's 2925-position model. Lineage: Bacteria; Pseudomonadati; Pseudomonadota; Gammaproteobacteria; Enterobacterales; Enterobacteriaceae. The record is from RNAcentral.